GGAAAUAGGUGGUGAUGGGCAGACAACAGAUGGCACUGAGCCCUCCCACAUGCACUAUGCACUAGAUGAGAAUUAUUUCCGAGGAUAUGAGUGGUGGUUAAUGAAGGAAGCUAAGAAGAGGAAUCCCAAUAUUACACUCAUUGGGUUGCCAUGGUCAUUCCCUGGAUGGCUGGGAAAAGGUUUCAACUGGCCUUAUGUCAAUCUUCAGCUGACUGCCUAUUAUGUCGUGACCUGGAUUGUGGGCGCCAAGCGUUAUCAUGAUUUGGACAUUGAUUAUAUUGGAAUUUGGAAUGAGAGGUCAUAUAAUGCCAAUUAUAUUAAGGAUUUUGGAGAAUAGGUGGUAUUUGGUUACAUGAGUAAAUUCCUUAGUGGUUAUUUGUGAGACUUUGGUGCACCCAUCACUGGAGCAGUAUACACUGAACCAAAUUUGUAGUCUUUUAUCCCUCACCUCCUUCCCAUCCUUUCCCCCUGAGUCCCUAAAGUCCAUUGUAUCAUUCUUAUGCCUUUGCAUCCUCAUAGCUUAGCUCCCACUUAUGAGUGAGAACAUACGAUGUUUUGUUUUCCAUUCC
This 569-nucleotide small RNA is filed under the name Pongo abelii (Sumatran orangutan). Its description in RNAcentral is "processed transcript". Lineage: Eukaryota; Metazoa; Chordata; Mammalia; Primates; Hominidae. The record is from RNAcentral.